Molecule: ribosomal RNA, 526 nt
Filed under: uncultured bacterium
Lineage: Bacteria
Description: bacterial SSU rRNA
Rfam family: Bacterial small subunit ribosomal RNA
Source: RNAcentral
AGAGUUUGAUCAUGGCUCAGAUUGAACGCUGGCGGCAUGCUUUACACAUGCAAGUCGAGCGGCAGCGCGGGGGCAACCCUGGCGGCGAGCGGCGAACGGGUGAGUAAUGCAUCGGAACGUGUCCCGUAGUGGGGGAUAACCCGGCGAAAGCCGGACUAAUACCGCAUAUGCUCUACGGAGGAAAGCGGGGGAUUCGCAAGAACCUCGCGCUAUGGGAGCGGCCGAUGUCCGAUUAGCUUGUUGGUGGGGUAAUGGCUUACCAAGGCGACGAUCGGUAGCUGGUCUGAGAGGAUGAUCAGCCACACUGGGACUGAGACACGGCCCAGACUCCUACGGGAGGCAGCAGUGGGGAAUUUUGGACAAUGGGGGCAACCCUGAUCCAGCCAUGCCGCGUGCGGGAAGAAGGCCUUCGGGUUGUAAACCGCUUUUGUCCGGAAAGAAAAGGCACCUCCUAAUACGGGGUGCUCUUGACGGUACCGGAAGAAUAAGCACCGGCUAACUACGUGCCAGCAGCCGCGGUAAUUCA